RNAcentral lists this non-coding RNA (200 nucleotides) under Clostridium sp. RNAcentral describes it as "T-box sequence". It matches the Rfam family "T-box leader". Rfam says of the family: Uncharged tRNA acts as the effector for transcription antitermination of genes in the T-box leader family. Lineage: Bacteria; Bacillati; Bacillota; Clostridia; Eubacteriales; Clostridiaceae. The record is from RNAcentral.
CGUAAACCGUAGAAGAGAAUAGUAACCAUAGCAUAAUGUUAAAGAGAGUCAGCAUUUGGUGAGAGCUGAUACAUUAUAUAUUGUGAAUCCACCUCUGAGGGACUGUGAUGAGCAGUACGGCAAUGUCGUUAAUUAAUUAAGAGGAAUAAGUGAUUUACUUAUUCAAUUAGGGUGGUAACGCGGAGUCUUUCGUCCCUUUG